GUGUCAGCAGCCGCGGUAAGACGAACCGUGCGAACGUUAUUCGGAAUCACUGGGCUUAAAGCGCGUGUAGGCGGGCCGGCACGUCGGUCGCUGAAAUCCCCCGGCUCAACCGGGGAAGGGGCGCCGAUACGACCGGCCUGGAGGGGCGUAGGGGGACCGGGAACUUCCGGUGGAGCGGUGAAAUGCGUUGAGAUCGGAAGGAACGCCCGCGGCGAAAGCGCGGUCCUGGACGCCUGCUGACGCUGAGACGCGAAAGCCAGGGGAGCGAACGGGAUUAGAUACCCCUGUAGUCC
This 293-nucleotide ribosomal RNA is filed under the name uncultured bacterium. Its description in RNAcentral is "partial 16S ribosomal RNA". It matches the Rfam family "Bacterial small subunit ribosomal RNA", at positions 505 to 796 of the family's 1533-position model. The record is from RNAcentral.